AGUGGCGAACGGGUGAGUAAUGCAUCGGAACGUACCGUGUAGUGGGGGAUAACGUAGCGAAAGUUACGCUAAUACCGCAUACGCCCUGAGGGGGAAAGUGGGGGACCGCAAGGCCUCACGCUAUAUGAGCGGCCGAUGUCGGAUUAGCUAGUUGGUAGGGUAAAGGCCUACCAAGGCGACGAUCCGUAGCGGGUCUGAGAGGAUGAUCCGCCACACUGGGACUGAGACACGGCCCAGACUCCUACGGGAGGCAGCAGUGGGGAAUUUUGGACAAUGGGCGCAAGCCUGAUCCAGCCAUGCCGCGUGAGUGAAGAAGGCCUUCGGGUUGUAAAGCUCUUUCAGACGGAAAGAAAUCUCUCGGGAUAACACCCUGGGAGGAUGACGGUACCGUAAGAAGAAGCACCGGCUAACUACGUGCCAGCAGCCGCGGUAAUACGUAGGGUGCGAGCGUUAAUCGGAAUUACUGGGCGUAAAGCGUGCGCAGGCGGUGAUGUAAGACAGAUGUGAAAUCCCCGGGCUCAACCUGGGAACUGCGUUUGUGACUGCAUCACUCGAGUACGGCAGAGGGAGGUGGAAUUCCGCGUGUAGCAGUGAAAUGCGUAGAUAUGCGGAGGAACACCGAUGGCGAAAGGCAGCCUCCUGGGCCAGUACUGACGCUCAUGCACGAAAGCGUGGG
RNAcentral lists this ribosomal RNA (676 nucleotides) under uncultured Zoogloea sp. Its description in RNAcentral is "bacterial SSU rRNA". It matches the Rfam family "Bacterial small subunit ribosomal RNA", at positions 94 to 765 of the family's 1533-position model. Lineage: Bacteria; Pseudomonadati; Pseudomonadota; Betaproteobacteria; Rhodocyclales; Zoogloeaceae. The record is from RNAcentral.